UUUCCGUAGGUGAACCUGCGGAAGGAUCAUUACUGAGUGAGGGCCCUCUGGGUCCAACCUCCCACCCGUGUUUAUUGUACCUUGUUGCUUCGGUGAGCCCGCCUCACGGCCGCCGGGGCGCAUCUGCCCCCGGGCCCGCGCUCGCCGAAGAAACCCUUGAACUCUGUCUGAAGUUUGCAGUCUGAGCGAAAACUAAAUAAGUUAAAACUUUCAACAACGGAUCUCUUGGUUCCG
This 234-nucleotide unclassified non-coding RNA is filed under the name plant metagenome. Its description in RNAcentral is "partial contains small subunit ribosomal RNA, internal transcribed spacer 1, and 5.8S ribosomal RNA". The record is from RNAcentral.